RNAcentral lists this ribosomal RNA (253 nucleotides) under uncultured bacterium. RNAcentral's name for it is "partial 16S ribosomal RNA". It matches the Rfam family "Bacterial small subunit ribosomal RNA", at positions 524 to 776 of the family's 1533-position model. The record is from RNAcentral.
UACGUAGGUGGCAAGCGUUAUCCGGAAUUAUUGGGCGUAAAGGGCGUGUAGGCGGUGCUUUAAGUCUGACGUGAAAGCCAACGGCUCAACCGUUGAAAUGCGUUGGAAACUGGAGCACUUGAGUGUCGGAGAGGAAAGUGGAAUUCCUAGUGUAGCGGUGAAAUGCGUAGAUAUUAGGAGGAACACCAGUGGCGAAGGCGACUUUCUGGACGACAACUGACGCUGAGGCGCGAAAGCGUGGGGAGCAAACAGG